CAAAAGUUGUCAGUUAGUAACAAUCGUUCGUUGCGCCGGAAACAUCAACUUCGGCCAUUUCCGGCGGUGACGUCAUGAGUAGAACACAGCUGAGCUCAGUCCCGUUUGAAUGCAUUGAAGGGCCAAAUAUUAUGACAAAGGAUGCACAGCAAUAUAUGUUGUAUGGGGAUGUGGGGCCGUCUCAACAUCUGGUUAUGGGAUGUUUUUGUGGCCAAAAAAUUAUCAAAUGUUGCGUAUAUGGACAAAACAAGUGCGUCAUAUGAGGCGGACUUUUACUGGACCAGGUAACACGGGGUCGAUGAAAACGACGAUGUGUGGGCAGCACAUCGAGAGAUCGUGUUUCGAACAAUCAACAAUGCCCGCUAAGGAGAGAGAGUAAAAGCUUUCUCGAAGGCUUUGCAUUUGAACUCCUAUGACUGGUUACGGACUUGAAGGGAACGUCUUCCUGACAUCCAGGAAAAUGUAGAAAUCUACUGGAACCUAACACCAGAGAGAGGGAGGUGAUGAUAUGCAGCAAAAGGCCCAGCCGGAUGGUUGCUGCUCCGUCUGGAACGUGUUCUAUCCAGUAAAGCACUUUGGUACCCAGUUAUUUAUGGUAUUGAGUUUGAAUUUAGCCUUUGGAAGAAAGGAUCAUGCCAGCCCACAUCAAACACCUGAUCAAGAACUUGUGAAUCUUCAGGCAGAAAAGAUGAAAACACCUGUUCCAGUUUCCUGUACAUGGAACCAUGCCAGUCCUCUGUUCCACAUGUCUUCAGUCAGUCCUGGGGCCUGUACUACAAAGCAGGAUUUUCGCUUAGCCGGCUAACUUCAGGGAAAACUCCGGCUUUCCGGGCUUACGAAGCUGGUUCUCUUUUUAGCGGGCUAGAUCUCCA
Gymnodraco acuticeps is the source of this 872-nucleotide long non-coding RNA. RefSeq lists it as uncharacterized. NCBI's taxonomy places the organism in Eukaryota, Metazoa, Chordata, Actinopteri, Perciformes, Bathydraconidae. The record is from RefSeq and is a predicted model, not a curated record. The transcript is spliced from 4 exons.